Molecule: long non-coding RNA, 257 nt
Filed under: Sorghum bicolor (sorghum)
Lineage: Eukaryota; Viridiplantae; Streptophyta; Magnoliopsida; Poales; Poaceae
Description: long non-coding RNA (SBIC_LNC002787)
Source: RNAcentral
UUGACUCCUUCUAGUUCUAAUCCAAUGUAGCUAUGCUAAUCUAGAUGUCCAAUUUAUGUGGUGGCUCUAAUCUUGACCAGAGGCUUCUUCUCCCUUGAGCAAUAAUGAAUUAGGGUUGAGAGGCUCUCUCCUCCAGGGGCUAGGGGGUCUGGUUUUAUAGUCCCUUCAAGAGAAUAUGGGUCGUUAGAUCAAACCGACAUAGAUUGAACGGUUAUCCUUGAUACUUUAGGUCGGUGGAGAUCUUUCCCGAAAGAGAG